RNAcentral lists this ribosomal RNA (344 nucleotides) under uncultured eukaryote. Its description in RNAcentral is "SSU rRNA". It matches the Rfam family "Eukaryotic small subunit ribosomal RNA", at positions 567 to 905 of the family's 1831-position model. The record is from RNAcentral.
CCAGCAGCCGCGGUAAUUCCAGCUCCAGUAGCGUAUAUUAAAGUUGCUGCAGUUAAAAAGCUCGUAGUUGGAUUUCUGGUGUGGUGGGUCCGGUCCGCCGCCGCUAGGCGUGUGAGUACUGGCGCCCGCCUGCCAUCCUUCCAGAGAGCCUGCCUACCCUUCACUGGGCCGGGUUGUGCGAUCUGGAUCGUUUACUUUGAAAAAAUUAGAGUGUUUAAAGCAGGCUUACGCUUCUGAAUACAUUAGCAUGGAAUAAUAAGAUAGGACUUUGGUUCUAUUUUGUUGGUUUCUAGGACUGAAGUAAUGAUUGAUAGGGACAGUUGGGGGUGCUAGUAUUUAACGGC